CGCUGGCGGCGUGCCUAACACAUGCAAGUCGUACGAAGAAAGUCCGCUUCGGUGGGCAAGUAAAGUGGCGCACGGGUGAGUAACGCGUGGAUAAUCUACCCUUUAGUCUGGAAUAACUUGUCGAAAGGUGAACUAAUACCGGAUAAUAUCCUGGUUUCUCCGGAAAUUGGGAUCAAAGAAGGCCUCUGCUUGCAAGCUUUUGCUGAAGGAUGAGUCCGCGUACCAUUAGCUAGUUGGUAGGGUAAUGGCCUACCAAGGUUAUGAUGGUUAGCUGGUCUGAGAGGAUGAUCAGCCACACUGGAACUGAAACACGGUCCAGACUCCUACGGGAGGCAGCAGUGAGGAAUAUUUGCGCAAUGGGGGCAACCCUGACGCAGCAACGCCGCGUGAGUGAGGAAAGUUUUUCGGAUUGUAAAGCUUUGUCGAGCGGAAAAGAAAAUAUAUGKKGGGCUAAUMUUCCACCMWGUUUGACGGGUACCCGCUAGAGGRAAGCACCGGCUWAACUUCCGUGCUCAGCAGCUCGCGGUAAUACGGGGGGKUGCAAAGCGUUUGUUUCGGAAUCAUUUGGGCGUAAAAGAGCGUGUAGGCGGCUGGACAAGUCAGAAUGUGAAAGCCCCUGGGCUUACCCCAGGAAGUGCAUUUUGAAACUGUCUUGCUUGAGUAAAGGA
RNAcentral lists this ribosomal RNA (668 nucleotides) under uncultured bacterium. RNAcentral describes it as "bacterial SSU rRNA". It matches the Rfam family "Bacterial small subunit ribosomal RNA", at positions 34 to 653 of the family's 1533-position model. The record is from RNAcentral.